This is a long non-coding RNA of Mustela erminea (ermine), 1032 nucleotides long. RefSeq lists it as uncharacterized. The transcript is spliced from 2 exons. Lineage: Eukaryota; Metazoa; Chordata; Mammalia; Carnivora; Mustelidae. The record is from RefSeq and is a predicted model, not a curated record.
CAACAGGCAGACACGGCUCUAGCCUGGUGAUCUGGAGCCAGUGACUGGGUCCCUGUGAAAUCAGGAUGGCUCCUUUUCUUCGCAGGACCUAGCAUGGGACCAGGGGAAGAGACUCAGCAGAGUGAAUUGUUUUAUUUUCACUUCCUCAGAGGCCCAGGUAUAGUCAGUUCUGAGAUAGAGGAUCCCAGGAGGGCACGUCUAUCCCAGACGUUAGAGAGGCUCUGGGAUCAGGCAGCGCUGUGUCUGAGCUCCCGCUCCGGGCCAGGCAGCUCUCACGGAGACGCCCAAGAUUUUUCUUACCGUCCAUGUUAAACUUGAGCACAUUUGGAAAUAUUUUAGACCUGAAAGAAAACAUCGGGACAUCAAAACAAUCACUACAGCUGGGCAGGGCCUCUGCAGCCACAGGCUUGCUGAUGAAAAGAUUUGUGGAGACUGCCUAAUGAAGUGUUCAGAAAGCGUUCUGUGUGUCAUCUGUUUUCCUGACGACCUCCUCAUUGGGUAGAUAAGGGGCAAGAGCUAUUUUCCCGUGUUGCAUAAAUAGGAAAUGAGGUAGAGUGAGUUUGAGAGAAUUAUGACUCAAAAUAGAAGUGAGUCAGGGGCAGACUGAAGACUGCACACGACCUCGCCUGAUCCCCUAAUCCCAGCCUUGGCGGCAGGCUGGGCCCUAGGUUUUAAAGAAAAUACAAUGAUUUCACUUUCACUUUUGUUCUUUUGUAGGGUUGUGCUAGAAUCUUUACACUGGAGAAGGAAAGGGGUGUGUGUUGGGGGGAGGGUAUGUUUUUUCUUCUUUCUUUUAAAAACUCUCCCCUUUCCCUUUGGUAGAUGCCAACAUCUGUAUUGACUCCAUUCAGUUGAAUUCAACAACCCGGUGCCUGUUUUGUGCAAGGCUCUUUCCCAGGCACCGAGGAAGUUCUGGAAGGUUCUUCCAGCCGGUAGGACAAAAGGACCAAAUGAGAAUUGAAUGGUAUUUCUUACCAUCUUUUGGUUCAUGGAAAGUUUGAGAAUCUGGUGAAAGCUGUGAGUCCUCUCUCU